Zea mays is the source of this 578-nucleotide long non-coding RNA. RefSeq lists it as uncharacterized. The record is from RefSeq and is a predicted model, not a curated record. The transcript is spliced from 3 exons. Lineage: Eukaryota; Viridiplantae; Streptophyta; Magnoliopsida; Poales; Poaceae.
GCUGUGCUUGUGGCUGGUGUGGUGCCUGGGCAUGAGAGCCACAUGUGGAGGCCAUGUAGUGCUGGUACCAUUGAAAAUACUCUCCACUACAUAUGGGCUGAACUCAGAGCUGUCUGCCUUUGAUCAGUUGCACUAGGGCUUGGUUGUGUGAAGUCUCUCCCCUGCCCUUGAGCUCUAACUCGUGGCCACCGUAUGAGUGAAGUGGUAGUGUUCAGCCUGAGUAACCUCCCUCCCCAAACCUGAUUUGCUCUUGUGUUGUGUGCCAUCUACUCGGCUUGGUGUUCAUCACAGCCGAUUCCCCCCCCCCCCCCCCCCCCCCCCCCCCGCCGCCCGCCGUCGUGGCUAGAACGCUUCAAAGCGUGCUUGUGACAUCGCGGCGCGGCGCUGUGAACCACCUCUCUAUUGACCGUCAACUGGUGCUUUCCCCGGCUGUCUUCGCGCGAGCACCGAAGUGUUGAACACCUAGAAGAAGUGGUGUCUGAAGAAGGAGUUCACUUCAGUGCCUGCUGAUCCAGUGGUGGAGUUUCAUCUAACUGCUUACCACAAUAGAAGGAUUUUAGAUCUUCUCCUGCAAUAAG